UAGCUUCGAUCGUUCGAAUUCAGAGC
RNAcentral lists this non-coding RNA (26 nucleotides) under Homo sapiens (human). The record is from RNAcentral. Lineage: Eukaryota; Metazoa; Chordata; Mammalia; Primates; Hominidae.